Molecule: long non-coding RNA, 2763 nt
Organism: Scophthalmus maximus (turbot)
Lineage: Eukaryota; Metazoa; Chordata; Actinopteri; Pleuronectiformes; Scophthalmidae
Exons: 3
Source: RefSeq, a predicted model, not a curated record
AUCUUCCACCAGACUCAGUCGAGGGCAGGAGACGAGAGGAGGCGUCAGCAUCUCUCACGCUCAGGCAGCAACACAUCUAUGAUCUAUAUGAUACAUUUCUGUGUAUAUGUCUCAGUUAUAUGGGGAGGGGGGGGGGGUUGUGAUGAGGGAUUUCUUUGGGGACAUUGUGACAGAAGCUCUGGAGGAAUGAAAGAAGUGGAUGAGUCACGCAGCCUCGUCUCAGCCUCUCAGAUGACGACGAGUGCGUCAGGAGAAUGACAAUCAGAGAACACACCGCCCUGACCCGGCCAGAGCGACGGCGCCCCCCGGUGGCGUGUACAUGAUGGUCUGGAAGUCUGAACCAGUGAUCUGUUCCACGCACGCCCACUGCUCCGACCUCCAGGCCGGACUACAAGUGACAGAAAGUUACAGCAGCAUGAGGAAAAUGACUGAUUCCCUGAACGCAGCCGUCGGAAUCCAACACUGGGUCGGUUCUGAUUUACACAUUUCCCUUCAGAUUAUCAUGCAAAUGUGUCAGAAUUGUUGUCGUGAAGGUUUCGUCUCCCUUCGGUGGAGAAAACAAAAGCCAGAUGGUUUAACGUUGUGUGAGGUGGCUCCGAGACGAACGGCAGCCUCCUGCUUCUGAAAGGAAAUAUCUCCCAGCAUGCUCGGAGGCCCAGGGGUACUUCAGCCGCGACAUGAUUAAUAACCCUGCACUUAAUAAUAGGCUUCAAAAAUAAUUAUAGGCGAUGGCUGGCUGGGGGAAGUGCCGCUUCUGAAUCAGAAUCAACAUAAUUACAGAGCACGAGGAACGUGGACAGAUCCGUGUUGGUGGGAUCACGACGGGAUCAGGGCGAGGACGGAGCCACAAUGAGUGGCCCCGGGGGUCGGGUCUUCAGUUCACAGAGGAGCAAAGACACCAGAACAUAUUCACAUUUAAGAAGCUGAAAUCAGAGAAGUUAGACAUUUCUUUUCAUAAAUCCUAUUAUUCUAAUAAUUGAUUAUGAAAAUAGUUUGGGGAGCUCGAAGAUAGGUGAGAAUAACGAGUCGCUGUCCGAGGAGCGGUGACGUGAAACAAGUGCAGAUUUUAUAAAAACACAAGGAUCCUACAACGCUUUACUAACUAACCACAUUUCAAAGACUUUACGCUUCACAGCAAACGGUUUUCCGUUUAGAGUUUUGAGGCUGAGCUUAGAGAGAGAACCUGCAGGGAGGACGAGGUCAGAGGCAGCUGCGUCGCACUGCGCCACGGGCCGAGGGACGACCUGCAGAGGAGGCCAGAGAUUUAGCUGCGAUUUCAUAGUUCAGACGUUCAUCAGUAGAGCCGGCGGCGCCGCCAGAAUAACAAGAGGCUUCUUCACCGAGUCGAGUGGCAGGAAGUGGCUGUCGUGUGACGAUGUGCACACUGAGCUCGGCGGAAGUAAACUGAGUCUUUAGCUUCAUCCAGUGUGAAUGGCGGGUUUCAUUUCUUAGACACCGUACUGAAGCCGGUUUGCAGCUCGAUGACGAGGACAAUCCAGCUUUUCAACCGACCGGACAUCAGGCACAACAAUUAGGAGAAAAGCACAGUUUGUAAUUUUUGUGCCGGUAGCUGCAGCUCAGUGUCCACCAGACCUCCCGUCUGACAGCGGUGAAACUCCUCCAGGAGACGCCGGCGACUCGCCGCAGACGUGACAGUCCUGUGCUCAUCAGGAUCGACUGCAGCAGCUCACUGGGUAUUUGUGUCAAUCAGCCCCCCGCCGAGACCGCUUGUUCCCCCGCCGCCACCGACGGAUUGGUCGGUCGUAACGGACUCCGUAACGGUCGGCGGCCCACAAACAAGAUGCUGUCCAGGACAGAAACCGUGAAACAAGACGAUGUUGACGUGACCAAGAGUGUGAACUUGAUGCCGUGUUAAGAACUGAAGCCCGGACGAUGUAUCGGUCGUCCGAUCAAACGGGCGAUAUGAGCCUUUCACAGACGUAGUAUCGGUAUCUGCUUCGGUGUUUGUAGACAUUUCGCCAAUAGUUGCGGUUUGCAACUUUAACCACCAGAAAUUACAAAAAUCACACACUGGGGCUUUAAUAUGUGUCGGAUGAUAUAUUGGUAUUGGAAAUCUUUUACUCGCCGAUAUCGGCAACUGCGUCCAAAAAGCCAUAUCGGUUGGACUCAACUCUGAAGGGUAAACGUUGGUGAAAUUAAAUCUUGUAACGGACAUGAACAAAACAAAACAAGACUCUCAGACGGAUGAAACGUUGGAAAGAAAAUCCUUGAAUCCCAUAUUUACGUGAUCGGAUCAGUGAGAGUGAAACAUGAGCUUUACUUUCCUGUGAAAAACAUGAAGCAACCUCAGGAAGCGUCUCAUUCAAAUCUCCAGGUGAAGGAGGAGAUUUGUUUCCAAAGGGAAACACUACAACAGCCUUGUAAAUGAACCUCACACACACGCACACUGAAAUAAAAACACUCUCAAACUGCUUGUUGCCUUGGAGAUGAAGGGACUCGUGUUCCGUCUCUCGCCUCUGCAGUUUGGAUUGAAAAGGAAAUGCAACAUGCGGAGUUAUUCAGGGGGCGAGGACACUGGAGUCCGACUCGUCGCGACUUCACUGCGGCCUCGUCAAGGGAAAGCUGUUCCUCCGUUCCGUGAGAGUUCUUGGAUGAAACAGUAGAUUAUGUGGGAGUAGUUAUUAUUAUUAUUUUGUCUGUAUAUGUUGCAGAAAGUCAUCAUGUCCAUAUCCUGACUUUAAAUAAAGGCAGCAUCAACCUCCAACCAGUACAUCAAGUCUUGGUUGAGCUGGUUGGACUCUU